This 73-nucleotide transfer RNA is filed under the name Candidatus Pacearchaeota archaeon. RNAcentral describes it as "tRNA-Asn". It matches the Rfam family "tRNA". Rfam says of the family: Transfer RNA (tRNA) molecules are approximately 80 nucleotides in length. Their secondary structure includes four short double-helical elements and three loops (D, anti-codon, and T loops). Lineage: Archaea; Nanobdellati. The record is from RNAcentral.
GCUCGUGUAGCUCAGCAGGUAGAGCAUAUGGCUGUUAACCAUAGGGUCGUUGGUUCGAGUCCAACCACGAGCG